AUGAUGCCGAUGACGCAGGGCAAGAAGAGGAGACGAGCGAAUAAGCACCGCGCGGCGGCGAGAACUCGACCUCGUCCUACUCCCGUUUGUUCGGGGAAGGAGGAGGAGAAGGAGAAGGAGAAGGCCUCUUCUGUGCCUAGCGAGACUGCCACGGCAAAGCAGCCGAUAUACCUUGUGGUGGAGCACGGACUCGAGGAGCCCACCCACUCCGUCAUCAAGGCCGCCGCGGGCGCCUCCACACGCCGCCUGAGAUCCAGCAAACACGGCAUGUCCUUCGCGGCGGUGGGGACGGCGUACGGGCCCCGGAUCGCGGGCCUCGGCCUGGACCGAACCACGCUCUACGACCCUAAGGCCUCCGCCGAGUACGGCGCCCCCCGCCUCGUCUACUCCAAGAUGCAUCCCGUCCUGAUCGCGCACGGCUGCAAGCUCCACGCGCUCUCCCGCCGCCCCUCCGUCGUGCCGGGGCGGGACUUCAUGCCCUGGUUUCAUGUCCUCGACCUCAACGACGUCGGGGAUGAUCUCGGGUGGCGCCAGCUGCCGCUGCCGCCAAUCUUCCCUUGCCUCAUCAACCCGCUGGAGUACCGCGACCGGAUUAAGUGGGACAUGGUGGACGACAAGAACCUGCCUUUCGUCGGCCAGGCCGUUCCUCUCGGAGGCUGCCGCUUCGUUGCCUACUCCGAAGAGAAGGGAGGCGCGGCUGCAGUGUACGACAUUGAGGUCCUCCGGCCAGAAAAUUCAGUCACGGGCAAAACGAAGCUGUCCGUCGUUGAGUUGCAAGUGAUAUCAAAAGGCAUUGUUCCGGGGCAGCUGCUGUGCUCCAUGGGGAAUGGCAGCUUCUCCUCUUUCGACAUUUGA
Molecule: ribosomal RNA, 855 nt
Filed under: Triticum aestivum (bread wheat)
Lineage: Eukaryota; Viridiplantae; Streptophyta; Magnoliopsida; Poales; Poaceae
Description: partial small subunit ribosomal RNA
Source: RNAcentral